RNAcentral lists this ribosomal RNA (2092 nucleotides) under Mirabilicoxa sp. RNAcentral describes it as "SSU rRNA". It matches the Rfam family "Eukaryotic small subunit ribosomal RNA". The record is from RNAcentral. Lineage: Eukaryota; Metazoa; Arthropoda; Malacostraca; Isopoda; Desmosomatidae.
CAAAGAUUAAGCCAUGCAUGUCUGAGUACAGACCGAUCUAAGGUGAAACCGCGAAUGGCUCAUUAAAUCAGUCAUAAUUCCUUGGAUAGUGAAAAACUUUCCUCGGAUAACUGUGGAAAAUCCAGAGCUAAUACGUGCAACUGAGCUCCGACCUCGACGCGAGUCGCGGGAAGAGCGCAUUUGUUAGAUUCAAAACUGACCGGCGUACUCCUUCGGGAUACGCCGUUUGUUAAAAUUUGAUGACUCAGGACAACUAAGUCGAGCGCUCCGGUCUUUAGUACCGGCGCCGUAUCUUUCAAGUGUCUGCCUUAUCAGCUUUCGAUUGUAGGUUAAACGCCUACAAUGGCUGUAACGGGUAACGGGGAAUCAGGGUUCGAUUCCGGAGAGGGAGCCUGAGAAACGGCUACCACAUCUAAGGAAGGCAGCAGGCACGCAAAUUACCCACUCCCAGCCCGGGGAGGUAGUGACGAAAAAUAACGAUGCGAGACUCUUCCGAGGCCUCGCAAUCGGAAUGAGUCCAGUUUAAAUCCUUGGACGAGGAUCCAUUGGAGGGCAAGUCUGGUGCCAGCAGCCGCGGUAAUUCCAGCUCCAAUAGCGUAUAUUAAAGUUGCUGCGGUUAAAAAGCUCGUAGUUGGACUUUCUAGAUCCAUUUCGUGGGUGAGUCGCUCUUCGUACUAGCGUUUCGCGCGGUUCCAUGACCAAGUCGUCGUGACGCGUACUUCUGUCCGGGCAACCGCGGCAGAGGUUGCGUAGCGGCGUACCCAAUCAUGCGGGCGGCGAGGCGUUGUCCUAGAGUAUAGCUCGUCCGCGUUUGGUACAAUUAAAAUUUUGUCGGCUCGCUCGGAGUGCUCUUCACCGAGUGUUCCAGGGUGGCUGACACGUUCACUUUGAAAAAAUUAGAGUGCUUAAAGCGGGCUUAUUUACGGCCUGAAUGUCUGUGCAUGGAAUGAAGUAACAGGACCUCGAUUCUGUUGUUUUUGUCGGUUUUAUUGAACCGAGGUAAUGAUUAAAAGGGACAGACGGUGGCAUUAGUAUUGCGGCGCUAGAGGUGAAAUUCUUGGACCGUCGCAAGACUAACUACUGCGAAAGCAUUUGCCGAGAAUGUUUUCAUUAAUCAAGAACGAAAGUUAGAGGAUCGAAGGCGAUCAGAUACCGCCCUAGUUCUAACCCUAAACUAUGCUAACUAGCGAUCCGCCGGAGUCAUUCCCACGACCCGGCGGGAAGCCCCAGGGAAACCAAAGUCUUUGAGUUCCGGGGGAAGUAUGGUUGCAAAGCUGAAACUUAAAGGAAUUGACGGAAGGGCACCACCAGGAGUGGAGCCUGCGGCUUAAUUUGACUCAACACGGGAAACCUCACCAGGCCCGGACAUCAUAAGGAUUGACAGGUUGAGAGCUCUUUCUCGAUUUGAUGGGUGGUGGUGCAUGGCCGUUCUUAGUUGGUGGAGUGAUCUGUCUGGUUGAUUCCGAUAACGAACGAGACUCUACCCUACUAACUAGUCGGCGGAUCGUAACCCUGAGAUGGUUAGUUUGUAUAGGAGGGUUUUGCCUAGGCGAGCGCGUCCGUCCGUACCGAUAGGGAUGCGAUUACCAUUAGCUUUCGUGGCGAAGGGUGUCGUUAUUUCUAAAAGUCGGCGGUUACGAGCGUCGAAGCGGCUCCCCGAUUACUGCUACUGCUGGGGGCGUCCGUCGCAAUGUAUCUUCUUAGAGGGAUCAGCGGCGUAUAGCCGCACGAGAAAGAGCAAUAACAGGUCUGUGAUGCCCUUAGAUGUUCUGGGCCGCACGCGCGCUACAAUGUAGGGCUCAGCGUGCUUCCCCUCUCCGAAAGGAGCGGGUAACCCGUUGAAACCCCUACCCGAUUGGGAUUGGGGAUUGCAAUUAUUUCCCAUAAACGAGGAAUUCCCAGUAAGCGCGAAUCAUUAAUUCGCGCUGAUUACGUCCCUGCCCUUUGUACACACCGCCCGUCGCUACUACCGAUUGAAUGAUUCAGUGAGGGCAUCGGACUGGCCCUUCGGUUUAGUAACCUAGACCUUAGGCUGACGGAAAGAUGUCCGAACUUGAUCAUUUAGAGGAAGUAAAAGUCGUAACAAGGUUUC